GAGGUUCAAAUAAGGAAUUUCCCGCCUAUAUUAGAAGGGCCGGUGGGUUCUCCCGCUCGGCUAUGGCGAUAAACGGACUGUGGAAUAAGCCAUUCGGACCCGGGGGCAGUACCCGGCGCCUCCACCAAAUUCUCCCUGUCGCGGCAGGGGCUCUGGGGGCGAAACAGGAUCGACGAGGGUGUAAAGACAGUUUUUUUGCCCGGCAUGGUUCCGCCGUCAUCGGGCCGUUUUAUAGUUGCCAACGACAACUAUGCUGAGGCGCGUCUCGCUGCUUAAUGCAGUGCGAUAGCUUCAAAUCAAGUCCCUGGCUUUAGCCGGUCAGGGCGGGGUUCGGGGGUACCUGGCAACAGAAACCCCCACU
Molecule: transfer-messenger RNA, 361 nt
Filed under: Parvibaculum sp.
Lineage: Bacteria; Pseudomonadati; Pseudomonadota; Alphaproteobacteria; Hyphomicrobiales; Parvibaculaceae
Rfam family: Alphaproteobacteria transfer-messenger RNA
About the family: Bacterial tmRNA, also known as 10Sa RNA or SsrA, is named for its dual tRNA and mRNA-like properties. Its role is to liberate the mRNA from a stalled ribosome. To accomplish this part of the tmRNA is used as a reading frame that ends in a translation stop signal.
Source: RNAcentral